Molecule: ribosomal RNA, 442 nt
Filed under: uncultured bacterium
Lineage: Bacteria
Description: partial 16S ribosomal RNA
Rfam family: Bacterial small subunit ribosomal RNA
Source: RNAcentral
CCUACGGGGGGCAGCAGUGGGGAAUAUUGGGCAAUGGGCGCAAGCCUGACCCAGCAACGCCGCGUGAAGGAAGAAGGCUUUCGGGUUGUAAACUUCUUUUGUCAGGGAAGAGUAGAAGACGGUACCUGACGAAUAAGCCACGGCUAACUACGUGCCAGCAGCCGCGGUAAUACGUAGGUGGCCAGCGUUGUCCGGAUUUACUGGGUGUAAAGGGCGUGUAGCCGGGUGUACAAGUCAGAUGUGAAUUCCUGCGGCUUAACCGCAGAACUGCAUUUGAAACUGUUGAUCUUGAGUACUGGAGAGGCAGACGGAAUUCCUAGUGUAGCGGUGAAAUGCGUAGAUAUUAGGAGGAACACCAGUGGCGAAGGCGGUCUGCUGGACAGCAACUGACGGUGAGGCGCGAAAGCGUGGGGAGCAAACAGGAUUAGAUACCCCUGUAGUC